Molecule: ribosomal RNA, 430 nt
Filed under: Pseudomonadota bacterium
Lineage: Bacteria; Pseudomonadati; Pseudomonadota
Description: Proteobacteria bacterium partial 16S ribosomal RNA
Rfam family: Bacterial small subunit ribosomal RNA
Source: RNAcentral
UGGGGAAUAUUGGACAAUGGGCGAAAGCCUGAUCCAGCCAUGCCUCGUGUGUGAAGAAGGUCUUCGGAUUGUAAAGCACUUUAAGCGAGGAGGAGGCUACUAGUACUAAUACUACUGGAUAGUGGACGUUACUCGCAGAAUAAGCACCGGCUAACUCUGUGCCAGCAGCCGCGGUAAUACAGAGGGUGCAAGCGUUAAUCGGAAUUACUGGGCGUAAAGCGCGCGUAGGUGGUUCGUUAAGUUGAAUGUGAAAGCCCCGGGCUCAACCUGGGAACUGCAUCCAAAACUGGCGAGCUAGAGUAGGGCAGAGGGUGGUGGAAUUUCCUGUGUAGCGGUGAAAUGCGUAGAUAUAGGAAGGAACACCAGUGGCGAAGGCGACCACCUGGGCUCAUACUGACACUGAGGUGCGAAAGCGUGGGGAGCAAACAGG